GAUGAACGCUGGCGGCGUGCCUAAUACAUGCAAGUCGAGCGAACGGACGAGAAGCUUGCUUCUAUGAUGUUAGCGGCGGACGGGUGAGUAACACGUGGAUAACCUACCUAUAAGACUGGGAUAACUUCGGGAAACCGGAGCUAAUACCGGAUAAUAUUUUGAACCGCAUGGUUCAAAAGUGAAAGACGGUCUUGCUGUCACUUAUAGAUGGAUCCGUGCUGCAUUAGCUAGUUGGUAAGGUAACGGCUUACCAAGGCAACGAUGCAUAGCCGACCUGAGAGGGUGAUCGGCCACACUGGAACUGAGACACGGUCCAGACUCCUACGGGAGGCAGCAGUAGGGAAUCUUCCGCAAAGGGCGAAAGCCUGACGGAGCAACGCCGCGUGAGUGAUGAAGGUCUUCGGAUCGUAAAACUCUGUUAUUAGGGAAGAACAUAUGUGUAAGUAACUGUGCACAUCUUGACGGUACCUAAUCAGAAAGCCACGGCUAACUACGUG
This 497-nucleotide ribosomal RNA is filed under the name uncultured bacterium. RNAcentral describes it as "partial 16S ribosomal RNA". It matches the Rfam family "Bacterial small subunit ribosomal RNA", at positions 28 to 507 of the family's 1533-position model. The record is from RNAcentral.